Molossus molossus (Pallas's mastiff bat) is the source of this 838-nucleotide RNA transcript. It is a transcript of the gene named chromosome unknown C15orf40 homolog, with no coding region annotated. The transcript is spliced from 6 exons. Lineage: Eukaryota; Metazoa; Chordata; Mammalia; Chiroptera; Molossidae. The record is from RefSeq and is a predicted model, not a curated record.
UCCGCCUACCGGGAAAGGAUGCUCCCGCUCGGCUCCGGACUGAGGCUGCUCGGGGCGGGACCUGGAGUUCGCGCCCCCGCCCGAGUUCCUGCGGGCGUCGAGAUGCCGAAGGCAGCUGGUGCGACGAACAAGGCUAAAAGCCAGAGCAAGGAGCCAGAGAGACCACUUCCUCCCUUAGGUCCUGUGGCAGUUGAUGCUAAAGGUUGUGUCACCAUAGCCAUCCAUGCCAAACCUGGCUCUAAACAAAAUGCUAUAACAGAUCUGACAGCCGAAGCUGUAAGUGUAGCUAUUGCAGCACCUCCAUCGGAAGGAGAGGCUAAUGCUGAGCUCUGUCGGUAUCUCUCCAAGGUCUUAGAACUCAGGAAGAGUGAUGUGGUUUUAGAUAAGGGCGGUAAAUCUCGUGAAAAAGUGGUGAAGCUUUGGGCCUCCACAACUCCAGAAGAGAUCUUGGAGAAAUUGCAAAAGCAAGUUGAAAAAAAAUAAAAGGACAGGAACGAAAACACCAACUGAAAUUCGCCCAUCCGCCCAUGGAGACGUUGGUGGAAGAUUGUGAGCUGCACUUGCACCCAAGUCAGCCCAGACACACUGCACUCUACUUCUGGAGGCACAAAGCUGACAUUGACUGGGCACCUGUUAGGAGCCUGGUUUAGUGACAGCUCAUCUCCACUUUUCCAGUCUGACAGCACUGGUAACUAACUCCUCAUUCAUAGUGUAAGUCAUAUGCUAAUUCAUAUUUUAAUUCAUGUAAGGAAAUAAUCACAACUCUAAGUCUCCUCCUGCCUACCUCAUCUUCUAUGAGCUACUCCACAUCCUUUAUAUGAACAUUAUGCUUUACAUU